GAUGAACGCUGGCGGCGUGCUUAACACAUGCAAGUCGAACGGAAAGGCCCUGCUUUUGUGGGGUGCUCGAGUGGCGAACGGGUGAGUAACACGUGAGUAACCUGCCCUUGACUUUGGGAUAACUUCAGGAAACUGGGGCUAAUACCGGAUAGGAGCUCCUGCUGCAUGGUGGGGGUUGGAAAGUUUCGGCGGUUGGGGAUGGACUCGCGGCUUAUCAGCUUGUUGGUGGGGUAGUGGCUUACCAAGGCUUUGACGAGUAGCCGGCCUGAGAGGGUGACCGGCCACAUUGGGACUGAGAUACGGCCCAGACUCCUACGGGAGGCAGCAGUGGGGAAUAUUGCACAAUGGGCGGAAGCCUGAUGCAGCAACGCCGCGUGCGGGAUGACGGCCUUCGGGUUGUAAACCGCUUUCGCCUGUGACGAAGCGUGAGUGACGGUAAUGGGUAAAGAAGCACCGGCUAACUACGUG
This 468-nucleotide ribosomal RNA is filed under the name uncultured bacterium. Its description in RNAcentral is "partial 16S ribosomal RNA". It matches the Rfam family "Bacterial small subunit ribosomal RNA", at positions 28 to 507 of the family's 1533-position model. The record is from RNAcentral.